UUCGUUUCUCUUUCAUAAGUAUCGCAUUGAAUUAUUUUGUAAUGUUUUUUUACAUAUAUUUACAAUUAGCACAUAUACAUCGUACUUUUAUCUAUCUUUGUUUGCUUUUAUACUUGAUUUGUUUCUUUCUUUCUUUUUUAUUUAUUUUUUUUUUUAUAUUGUCACCAUUGGGAAUAAAACUUGCCAUCAACAACUUUCAAGCAUUCGUUCUCGUGAUACGAUCGAUGUAAGUUUAUCGGCUACGUGCUAGCUUGCCGACCGUGGAUCUUUUUUAUUAAUUACGUAAAAAUAUUUCUGUAAAGGUGUUUCUUGUUUAAAAUUAAUCGUUUGCAAAUUUUGCAGAACGCAUAAAUACGUCUUGGACAAUGGCGAUGGCCAGGGUACAUGCGUAGCUCCGACAAAAGGAACAUACUUUACGUAGCGUCCGUGAAGAUUACAUUGAACAUGGAUCCUGCCUUGUCAAACGGUGUUGGAAAAGGAACUGGGACGGAUGUCCGGCUGUCUGGAAAGUCCAUGGUAUUCAAACGAAGCCACGAACCAUACGCCAUCAUAGGAGGUGUCGAUUCGAAGCAACAUAAUCUCCGUUUGAGCUAACCAAUAAUCGGCUUAUUGAUUUUGAUUCGUACUGUUAAGUCCUCCCCACUGUUGUUUAACGAAUUAAAAUACUUAAGUUAAACGGAGUUUAAAUCCAGAAAAAUAAUUGGAGGAAGAGACAAUUUGUAUGGAAUUCGUGACAAUUCCAGUAGUCUGAAGGAUCCCUUAACGAGGACGGCCCUGACCGCUAGCGUUAUCCUAUUCGAUGCUUCAUUGACUUUCAUCCUAACUUGCGUGAUGCGUGUUUCGCACACGUGACAUACAGUUUGCAUGGAUACGUGACAUACGAGGUGCACGUAAACGAAGCUGCUGCUGCUGCUGCUGUGGUGCUACUGCUGUUGGUGGUGGUAGUGGAGGUGGUGGUUCUGGGCCGGUUAUACAGAACGUGUUACUUCAUGGUGACACGUAACACGGCUAGAUUGCUGCUAUAUUUCAUUUUUCCAUAAAUGUCGAAUGAACGAUCCGAAACACGUAUAAGUUUCACGAUAAAACAUGUAGUCGUCCAGUUUUCAGAUUGAAAACUUUGAACAAGGAAUCAAGUGUUAAGAUAAAGAAAGAUUCAUCAGUGUUAGAUCAAGAGGAACCGAAGAUUCCUUUAGUCGGAAAUUUUCAAGUUUUAAGCUACCAAGCAAAUGUGCUGAUCGAAUUCGACGAAUAAUUUGGAUGUGAAAGGAUCACGUUGAACAUUUGUAUCUCUCUCUUCCUCUCUCUCUCUCUCUCUCUCUCUCUCUCUCUCUCUCUCUCUCUCCCCUCCUCUUUCUUGGAGUGUCGAGAGAAGCGAUUUAUUUAAUUAAGCGACAGAUUCUGUAUCGUUCGGCAAGCGUAGUCGGUUUGAAACGGAAGGAGAGCUUCGAAACGCAGAGGAGGGCAACAACGCAGCAACCAAACACUUGUGGCUUUUAAGCUUGUGGCGAACCGGUGCUCCUGAUUCAAUUACCUUUGAAAUCCUUUGUCGUCGGACAUUAAAGCCGGAGCUAAUCCUGGGAGCACGUUGGAAACUCCGAAUGGCUUCUCCUCCUUCUCCUCCUCCUUCUCGUCCUCUUCCUUCAUUCUCUCUCUCUUUCUCUCUCUUUUUUUCUCUCUUUCUCUCUCUCUUUCUAUUUCUAUUUCUUUCAGUUUCGUUUUUUUUUCAUUGAUUAGAAAACAUUCCCGUGUUAAGCCGUAAUGGGAAAUUUUAUGGGGUGUUAACUGUAAUCUAUGAACAAAGAUGGCUACUCUCAUUUUAUUUAUAGCACACUCAUUAUCUUUUAAUUUGUUCCUUUUUAUUUUUAUUUUAUAUUCCUUUACCGUUUAUAUGGAAAACGAGAUACAAAUAUUUGAAGACAAUACGUUCGACAUGCUAAUUAAUAGCGAUAUCUUUUUCUCUUCGAUAGAGGAAUAAAGGAUGCUUUAAGUAUGGAUAGAUUUCUACUAUGGAAAAGAGAGAGAUAGAGAAGGAUCGAAAAGGAACGAUUCUUCAAUCGUUGAGCUUUCACACUCAUUCGAGCGUAAAUUUUCUAGUUUCGUAUGGUCGAACGUUAUCGAUCAUAUGAUCGGUAAGUGCAGGAAAAUUGGAAAUCUCUUUUCAAAAUGAUUCUUUUUUCUCUCUCUCUUUUUUUUUUCUUUUUUGGAUAAAAAACCUUGCUGAAAGUUUACACAUCUUUUAAAAUUUCUUUAAGGAAAUUUAACUUAACUUAAAAUGGAUCGUAUUUAUUUUCACUUUCUUGUUAUACAUUUUUUUUUCGUUUAAUUUAUCGUUAUGAGAAGUAUUGCUUUCGACAUUAGAAAGCGUUAGUUCGAUCAUGGGCAAUUUUCAGUGCAAACGAAACAUAUAAAAGUUAUUAAAACAAUGUUUGAAUCACUUAGCUUUAUGGCUUAUUCAAAAAGCCGAGGAGUUCAAUGUAUAUUUAUUCUAUCUCUUUCACUUUCAGAGGAGAGAAUUUUCUAGUUUUGAAACCACAAACGAGUACAUAACGAAAUCAUCCAUAUAUAUAUAUAUAUUUCUUCACAUAUAUACAUGUGAUGCACAUAUGAAAGGAUCAAAAUUAAAAAUAUAUAAGUGGAGGGUUGAUUUUUUAAUUAUUAAAAGUACAAUAGAUAAAUUGGGAAAGGAAUAAAUAUGAAAAUGAAAGUCGAAAGAUUAUUAAGCAUUGAUUUUUUAAUUUUUCUUUUUUCCUUUUCUUUUCUUUUUUUUCUUUUUACGCAUACACAUACAUACAUAUAUUUAGACAUACGUAUACAUGCAUGGAAGUUUGAUAGAAAGAGAAAGAGAGAGAAAGAGAAAGCUCGUUGAUUAUUUUUUUACCCUUGCCAAUUAUUUUCUAUGCCUGAAAGAGGGAGUAUAUUUCGAAAGUGGAACGAUAGAGGCUUAUCGAUAGGAUGAACGUCAUAAAGCGAUGCAUCCUAGAACAUCGAAGGUCAACGAGAGAAAUCUGGAGCACUUGGAUACUUAUCUGUUGAGAGAGGAAUCAUUCCUAUCCUUUUGGACAACAUUUUCUACAUUGAUCUCUCUAGAUAUUAUUGAUAAUAAUAAAAUUACAGAAUGUACAAAUAAAACGUACAAAUUUACAACAUUGUACAAAAUGUACAAAUAAAAUGUAUAACUAACAAUAUCUACAAAUAAUAAAAUCAAGGCAAGUUACGUACUCUA
Long non-coding RNA from Vespula vulgaris, 3223 nucleotides. RefSeq lists it as uncharacterized. The record is from RefSeq and is a predicted model, not a curated record. Lineage: Eukaryota; Metazoa; Arthropoda; Insecta; Hymenoptera; Vespidae. The transcript is spliced from 4 exons.